AAAUCACAGCUCUAGUUUGCCAACGCAGUCGUUCCUCUCUCCGCUCCCUGCUGACUUCUGGAGAGGAGCCGUUUCUCUCAACUUCUCAGCGCAAAAAAAUCCCGGUUAUUAUUAUUAUUUUUCCCCUUUGUCAUUUUUCAUUUUUCUCGCACCGAUCUCCCCCCCCUUUAAGCGCUGGGCAGGGGCCUCUUCAGAAAGAAGCGCCGUCAAAGCUGCCAGGCUCCCUUCCGCCCGCUGCGUGGCUAAACGCUCUCCGCGUGCGUUAUUUGGCACUAGGUUUCUAGCGCCAAGUGAUUAAAACAUUUGGAAAGUUGAAUUUUUUGAGGGGGUAGCGAUGUGAGGCCCGCGAGUGUUCACGACUCCUCUCUUUCCCCCGUGCCCAAAGGCCCCGCGUGGGCGCUGCCGCGCGAUAGCUUUGGCCGCGGUGCCUCCUGGUUGGGUAAAUGAUGGAGAUUUCCAGGCCAAAAGAGGCACGAGGCAGGUCAAGGAUGGGGAAAACCGGAGCAAACCUUUGUGAAACAGGUGUAAAAUGACCUUUUUAAAGAGCCGAAUGUUAUAGAAAAGGGAUGCGAGGGAAAAGAGAGGAGAGCAGCUGGGAAUACUGUUUAAAAAAAAAAAAAUCACUUUUAAUGACAACGGUGCCUGACCCUUAUUCACGUGACGCCGCAAGGGAGGUUUUAAGAAACCGAGCAAUUUCUGCAGCGCUCCUUCCUUGCGCCGUGCUAAAAAAAAAAAACAAACCCAAACUUGACUUUCUUUCCAGCAGCCUCAGCUCGUUCCUGCUGCAAGUCGAGCUCCAGCGACGCCUCGGACACCAGAGUUUGCUCCCCAAAACAGCGAAACCGUGGGGUGAGCAGCCUCCUGAGCUGCUGUCGUGAAAUCCCGGCCUCGGCAAUCAAAGUAUGAGGCGAACCCAGGAGCGGGGGCUAGAGGGACCGAAAGACCCCCUUAAAUACCACGAGGCACCCGAAUUGCAAGAGCUGCCAGCAGUGAAACCGGGGAGGGGGCGCCACCACCGCCGGCGGCCGCUCACACCUUCCUCCUCCUCCUCCUCCUCC
Molecule: long non-coding RNA, 1058 nt
Filed under: Struthio camelus australis
Lineage: Eukaryota; Metazoa; Chordata; Aves; Struthioniformes; Struthionidae
Description: lncRNA (ENSSCUG00000005539.1)
Source: RNAcentral